AGCCUCGAGCCGAGCCGGCUCGAGCUUUUUCCAGGCAUAGCUACGAGUGGCCCGAACCGACGAGCUCAAUUGUCAUCCCUAACCCACAACCACCAUCACCAUCACCAUAACCAUAACCAUAACCAUCAUCAACCACCACUGCUAGAUCCACAAUGCAAGUCAGCACCUCCACUUACAUCACCAACAAAAAACCAUCCCAAACCUUCCAACAACAUCUAAAUAUGGAAACCACCUCCAC
Molecule: long non-coding RNA, 238 nt
Filed under: Olea europaea (common olive)
Lineage: Eukaryota; Viridiplantae; Streptophyta; Magnoliopsida; Lamiales; Oleaceae
Description: long non-coding RNA (OEUR_LNC001368)
Source: RNAcentral